ACGUAGGAGACUAGCGUUAUCCGGAUUUACUGGGCGUAAAGCGCGUGCAGGCGGUUCAGCAAGUUGGAUGUGAAAGCUCCCGGCUUAACUGGGAGAGGUCGUUCAAUACUACUGGACUAGAGAGUGGUAGAGGGAGGUGGAAUUCCGGGUGUAGUGGUGAAAUGCGUAGAGAUCCGGAGGAACACCAGAGGCGAAGGCGACACCCUGGGCCGUACCUGACGCUAAGACGCGACAGCACGGGGAGCGAACGG
This 251-nucleotide ribosomal RNA is filed under the name uncultured prokaryote. RNAcentral describes it as "partial 16S ribosomal RNA". It matches the Rfam family "Bacterial small subunit ribosomal RNA", at positions 525 to 775 of the family's 1533-position model. The record is from RNAcentral.